RNAcentral lists this small nucleolar RNA (56 nucleotides) under Thermofilum pendens Hrk 5. RNAcentral describes it as "C/D box small nucleolar RNA". Lineage: Archaea; Thermoproteati; Thermoproteota; Thermoprotei; Thermofilales; Thermofilaceae. The record is from RNAcentral.
CUCGGUGAUGAGGGUUUCUGGUCCCGAGGGGUGAGGAGAGCUUGAUUGGCUGAGCU